Long non-coding RNA from Orbicella faveolata, 369 nucleotides. The record is from RefSeq and is a predicted model, not a curated record. NCBI's taxonomy places the organism in Eukaryota, Metazoa, Cnidaria, Anthozoa, Scleractinia, Merulinidae.
UUCAAGUUCACUCAUUGACGUGUAUCUUAUCUUCAACACGGGUUGCGAGUUUUCCAGGACCCGUACAAACCCUGCACAGCUGUAGGGAUCACUAAGCCACUCCAGCCUCACCACCACGGAGAGUUAAUCACCCAAGGAGAAGGUGCACCAUUUAGGUGCUGAAAGUCAGAAAGUGUCAAUGACUGCAUCAUUACCAAUACUUUCACUUUAAUAGAAGCUUAUACAGUACGUCUAAGUUUGACAGAGAUCGAUGCAUGCCCAAGAUCCCAAGAUCAAUGGAUGCCAACUACAACAGCACCACCUUUUUAAUAAAGCUGAAUUAGUGAAUACAGAGUCUGAUCGAAAAGACAGCAUAGCGAACUCAACAAG